This is a non-coding RNA of Pelobates cultripes (western spadefoot toad), 216 nucleotides long. The record is from the annotation of a GenBank genome assembly. NCBI's taxonomy places the organism in Eukaryota, Metazoa, Chordata, Amphibia, Anura, Pelobatidae.
GUGCUGGGAGCAGGCAAAGGGAUCAGUUCCUCCUCAAGUGAAAUUGGGCAGAUGGAUCAUUUCAAAUCUGGAAGACGGUUGGUGUUCCUGGUACUGGAUGGACAGCGUAGCGGCACUGGUCUGGAACCCAAGUUGAGGACCAAUCACCCGUGUUACAGGUAUCCAACAGGGCAUUUCCCUGCCACCCCCUAUUGUUUGAUUUCACCUUGAGAACGU